GCACCCGUAGAUCAAUUGGAUAGAUCGUUUGACUACGGAUCAAAAGGCUAGGGGUUCAAAUCCUCUCGGGUGCGCCA
This 77-nucleotide transfer RNA is filed under the name Acholeplasma sp. RNAcentral describes it as "tRNA-Arg". It matches the Rfam family "tRNA". Rfam says of the family: Transfer RNA (tRNA) molecules are approximately 80 nucleotides in length. Their secondary structure includes four short double-helical elements and three loops (D, anti-codon, and T loops). The record is from RNAcentral. RNAcentral also lists the same sequence under 2 other names. Lineage: Bacteria; Bacillati; Mycoplasmatota; Mollicutes; Acholeplasmatales; Acholeplasmataceae.